This is a small nuclear RNA of Psammomys obesus (fat sand rat), 107 nucleotides long. Lineage: Eukaryota; Metazoa; Chordata; Mammalia; Rodentia; Muridae. The record is from RefSeq and is a predicted model, not a curated record.
GUAUUCUCUUUGUCAGCACACAUACUAAAAUUGGAACAAUACAGAAAAGAUUAGUGUGGUCCCUAUGCAAGGAUGACAUGCAAAUUUGUGAAGUGUGCCAUAAUUUU